CCCGUCUUGCCGCGUCCUUCCCGGGAAAAGAGAGCGCUUUCGCAGAGCAGGGUCCGGCUCCUGUGUGGCCAAGCGCCUUCCGUCCGCGCGGAGGACGCGGGGCUCCGGGCCUCCUGCCAGACGGGGCCAGCGCUUGCACGUGAAUGGGGGAAAAGAUGCUAAAAAAGAAAUGUACUAAUGGUCUUUAGAGUUGUUAAUAAUUGGAGAAGCUAAAGAGCUAAGAAAAGAGUGUGGCCAGAGAAGACCUAUGGAAGGAAGUCUUACUUCACUGAUGGACGGUAUUUCUAUCAGAGUACAGAGCAACCUGAGCCAAAUCAUUUGAGGAUGUUUUCCCCUCUGUAUUGGAAGGUUUGUAGAAAAGUGUGUUUGCGCAGAACGGCCGUGUUUGAACAAUCUGCUGAUCUGGAAGGCAACAACAACAGGAGAGAAGAUACUGCUAGUCCGACCCUUUAUCUUGGCUGUGAAUUUUGCUAGGCAGGUUUCCUCAUAUCUUUGUGAUGAUCAGCUAUCAAAAAUACGCUGUUAUCUAAUCUUGCCUAUUAUUGGAUGGGUAGAAUGGAUAGAAUAGAGAGAAGAAAUAAGGCUUCAUUCAGAGAGAACAAUUGUCCACUCUGUGGUGCUGUAUCAGGCCACACUUCUCAGAAGAUUGGCUUUUUGCGGGGGGGACAAAGUUUGUUGCAAGGAUAAAGAAGCCUUAUACUUAAAAAUUUUAUUCAGGUGCAGAUUCUAUUAGAA
Long non-coding RNA from Dromaius novaehollandiae (emu), 735 nucleotides. RefSeq lists it as uncharacterized. NCBI's taxonomy places the organism in Eukaryota, Metazoa, Chordata, Aves, Casuariiformes, Dromaiidae. The transcript is spliced from 3 exons. The record is from RefSeq and is a predicted model, not a curated record.